RNAcentral lists this ribosomal RNA (181 nucleotides) under Listeria monocytogenes. RNAcentral's name for it is "partial 16S ribosomal RNA". It matches the Rfam family "Bacterial small subunit ribosomal RNA", at positions 1 to 176 of the family's 1533-position model. The record is from RNAcentral. Lineage: Bacteria; Bacillati; Bacillota; Bacilli; Caryophanales; Listeriaceae.
UUUAAAGAGAGUUUGAUCCUGGCUCAGGACGAACGCUGGCGGCGUGCCUAAUACAUGCAAGUCGAACGAACGGAGGAAGAGCUUGCUCUUCCAAUGUUAGUGGCGGACGGGUGAGUAACACGUGGGCAACCUGCCUGUAAGUUGGGGAUAACUCCGGGAAACCGGGGCUAAUACCGAAUGA